AUUGGAGCCUGGGAAGGGAAGAACUUCGACGUGGGACAAAGAAAAGAGGGUAGAGGAGGGAGGUCUAUGUGGGACAAAAAGAAUCAUCGAGUUUAAAAACUACAAUGUAGUAAAAGAAUGAACUGAAGACAGGAAGACAAAUCACAGUAAAGAUCAUCGGGUUCAGGAGAAAGACUGAACAGGACAUCCAGACGCUAAAGGAGGACAGAGGAUAAAUGAAAAACCAUAAUGGGUUCAAACGUGGAAAAAGGAAAACAGUUUAACGAGGGACAGACAGAUGAGUGUAGAGGAGGGAGGACAGUGCAUAGAUGAAAAACCAUAAUGGGUUCAAGCCUGGGAAGGGAAGAAAUUCGACGUGGGACCGAGAAAAGAGGGUAGAGGAGGGAGGUCUACGUGGGACAAAAAGAAUCUACAAUGUAGUACAAGAAUGAAAUGAAGACAGGAAGACAUAUCACAGUAAAGAUCAUCGGGUUCAGGAGAAAGACUGAACAAGACAUCCAGACACUAAAGAAAGAAAGAGCAUAAAUGAAAAACCAUAAUGGGUUCAAACGUGGAAAAGGAAAACAGUUUAAUGAGGGACAGAGAGAUGAGUGUAGAGGAGGGAGGACAGUGCAUAGAUGAAAAACCAUAAUGAGUUGGAGCCUGGGAAGGGAAGAACUUCGACGUGGGACAGAGAUAAGAGGGUAGAGGAGGCAGGUCUACGCGGGACAAAAAGAAUCAUGGAGUUUGGAAACCACAAUGCAGUACAAGAAUGAAAUGAAGACAAGAAGACGUGUCGCAGUAAAGAUCAUCAGUUUCAGGAGGAAAGAGUGAACAGGACAUCCAGACAUUUGAGGAGAACAAAGCAUAAAGGAAAAGCCAUAAGGGGUUCAAGCCUGUGAAGGGAAGAACUUCAACGUGGGACAGAGAAAAGAGGGUAGAGGAGGGAGGUCUACGCGGGACAAAAUGAAACAUGGAGUUUGGAAACCACAAUGCAGUAGAAGAAUGAAAUGAAGACAAGAAGACGUGUCGCAGUAAAAAUCUUCAAGUUCAGGAGGAAAGACUGAACAGGAUAUUCAGACAUUUGAGGAGGACAGAGCAUACAUGAAAAGCCAUAAUGGCUUCAAGCCUAGGAAGGGAAGAACUUCGACGUGGGACAGAGAAAA
Molecule: long non-coding RNA, 1145 nt
Organism: Spea bombifrons (plains spadefoot toad)
Lineage: Eukaryota; Metazoa; Chordata; Amphibia; Anura; Pelobatidae
Exons: 2
Source: RefSeq, a predicted model, not a curated record